Molecule: unclassified non-coding RNA, 323 nt
Filed under: soil metagenome
Description: partial contains 5.8S ribosomal RNA, internal transcribed spacer 2, and large subunit ribosomal RNA
Rfam family: 5.8S ribosomal RNA (bases 1-120)
Source: RNAcentral
GAUGAAGAACGUAGUGAAAUGCGAUAAGUAAUGCGAAUUGCAGAAUUCAGUGAGUCAUCGAAUCUUUGAACGCACAUUGCGCCCUGUGGUAUUCCGCAGGGCAUGCCUGUUCGAGCGUCAUUUCAACCCUCAAGCUCUGCUUGGUGUUGGGCCCUGCCCGCUGCGGCCGGCCCUAAAGACAGUGGCGGUGCCGCCUGGCCCUGAGCGUAGUACAUCUCUCGCUCCAGUGCCCGGUGGUAGCCUGCCAGAACCCCAACUCUCGUGGUUGACCUCGGAUCAGGGAGGGAUACCCGCUGAACUUAAGCAUAUCAAUAAGCGGAGGA